Molecule: ribosomal RNA, 253 nt
Filed under: uncultured bacterium
Lineage: Bacteria
Description: partial 16S ribosomal RNA
Rfam family: Bacterial small subunit ribosomal RNA
Source: RNAcentral
UACGGAGGGUGCAAGCGUUAUCCGGAUUCACUGGGUUUAAAGGGUGCGUAGGAGGGUAGGUAAGUCAGUGGUGAAAUCUUCGAGCUUAACUCGGAAACUGCCGUUGAUACUAUCUGUCUUGAAUACCGUGGAGGUGAGCGGAAUAUGUCAUGUAGCGGUGAAAUGCUUAGAUAUGACAUAGAACACCAAUUGCGAAGGCAGCUCGCUACACGAAUAUUGACUCUGAGGCACGAAAGCGUGGGGAUCAAACAGG